This 329-nucleotide ribosomal RNA is filed under the name uncultured eukaryote. Its description in RNAcentral is "partial 18S ribosomal RNA". It matches the Rfam family "Eukaryotic small subunit ribosomal RNA", at positions 1470 to 1796 of the family's 1831-position model. The record is from RNAcentral.
CCCUUAGAUGUUCUGGGCCGCACGCGCGCUACACUGAUGCAUUCAACGAGUCUAAAACCUGCUCUGAUAGGGGUGGGUAAUCUUUUGAAUGUGCAUCGUGAUUGGGAUAGAUGAUUGCAAUUUUUCAUCUUCAACGAGGAAUGCCUAGUAAACGCAAGUCAUCAGCUUGCAUUGAUUACGUCCCUGCCCUUUGUACACACCACCCGUCGCUCCUACCGAUUGAAUGAUCCGAUGAAUAUCAUGGAUUGAGGAUUAUAGCAGGUUCGCCUGUCUUGAUCUUCGAGAAGUGAAGUAAAUCUUAUCAUUUAGAGGAAGGAGAAGUCGUAACA